Non-coding RNA from Mycena leptocephala, 102 nucleotides. NCBI's taxonomy places the organism in Eukaryota, Fungi, Basidiomycota, Agaricomycetes, Agaricales, Mycenaceae. The record is from the annotation of a GenBank genome assembly.
UCGGGUGUGGUGCAUGGUGCACGGCUGCCCAGAUUAAUGGGAAAUGAACGCGACUAAUUGUUUGACUGGCAGCAAGCCGGGGUUCGACUCCCCGCGCCCGGA